UACGUGGGAAGUCCACCCGCCGAGGACGGAAGUGGCGAGCGCGGUCUCCUGGGCCCGAGCCCGAGAGACAGGACUCACCCUGCGUGAAGCCGCAAAAAAAUCCUACCCCGGAAACACCUGUCGCUGCGGGCGGUGCUGCGGUUGGACGGUUACUGUUUCCCGGCUGCUGGCCCUCACUCCCCGCCCCGCGCAAGGCCAACCCCCACCGGAUCUCUCCGGAUCGCUCCGUCCCAAGGCCAGCCAUCUGGACCAGCAGAAGAUAAGGCCGUUUCGCCUGACUAUUAAACCUUGAGAAAAUGCUGAUUUGAUGCUUUUCGCUUCUGUACUGUGCCUGUUUUCCCUUAUAAAAAGGACCCCCCUUCCGGGGCUCGGGGCUUGGCAAAACAGAAGCUAAGCCCCGGAUAUCCGUGUUAUUAAUAAACCCUCUUGCUCUUGCAUCCAAAGUUCGUGGUUUCGCUGAUUCCUGGGUGUGGGUCUCCUUCUACGAAAGUACCUCUGCGAGGGUCUUUCAAGAGAAAGGAGACCA
This 526-nucleotide long non-coding RNA is filed under the name Cricetulus griseus (Chinese hamster). Its description in RNAcentral is "lncRNA (ENSCGRG00000025311.1)". The record is from RNAcentral. Lineage: Eukaryota; Metazoa; Chordata; Mammalia; Rodentia; Cricetidae.